RNAcentral lists this ribosomal RNA (327 nucleotides) under uncultured archaeon. RNAcentral describes it as "bacterial SSU rRNA". It matches the Rfam family "Archaeal small subunit ribosomal RNA", at positions 321 to 648 of the family's 1478-position model. The record is from RNAcentral.
CCCUACGGGGCGCAGCAGGCGCGAAAACUCUACAAUGCAGGCAACUGCGAUAGGGGAACAUCGAGUGAUCCUCAUAUUGGGGGUCUGUCCACCCGCCUAAAAAGCGGGUGUUAGCAAGGGCCGGGCAAGACCGGUGCCAGCCGCCGCGGUAAUACCGGCGGCUCGAGUGGUGGCCGAUAUUAUUGAGUCUAAAGGGUCCGUAGCCGGCUUUGCAAGUCUCUCGGGAAAUCCAGCGGCUUAACCGUUGGUCGUCCGGGGGGUACUACAUUGCUUGGGACUGGGAGAGGUAGGAGGUACUCAGGGGGUAGGAGUGAAAUCCUGUAAUCC